Oncorhynchus mykiss (rainbow trout) is the source of this 80-nucleotide small nucleolar RNA. NCBI's taxonomy places the organism in Eukaryota, Metazoa, Chordata, Actinopteri, Salmoniformes, Salmonidae. The record is from Ensembl.
UGCAGCUGAUGUUUUUCUCAUGAUGGUCUUCCAAACCUUGUGGUUAUGACGACGUUGCCAAAUGGCAACACUGCAGUUCC